RNAcentral lists this unclassified non-coding RNA (317 nucleotides) under uncultured fungus. RNAcentral's name for it is "partial contains 5.8S ribosomal RNA and internal transcribed spacer 2". The stretch from base 1 to 133 matches the Rfam family "5.8S ribosomal RNA", at positions 22 to 154 of the family's 154-position model. The record is from RNAcentral. Lineage: Eukaryota; Fungi.
UGGUUCUGGCAUCGAUGAAGAACGCAGCGAAAUGCGAUAAGUAAUGCGAAUUGCAGAAUUCCGUGAGUCAUCGAAUCUUUGAACGCACAUUGCGCCCGCCAGCAUUCUGGCGGGCAUGCCUGUUCGAGCGUCAUUUCAACCCUCAGGCCCUGCCUGGUGUUGGAGGACUGCGCAUGCAGCCUCCCAAAGACAGCGGCGGCGGCGCCCCAAAACCGAACGCAGUAGUUACCUCUCGUUCUGGGUCUGGGUCGUUGUCCUGCCGGAAAACCCCCCUCUUUUACAUGGUUGACCUCGAAUCAGGUAGGAAUACCCGCUGA